CCUACGGGUGGCUGCAGUGGGGAAUAUUGGACAAUGGGGGGAACCCUGAUCCAGCGACGCCGCGUGAGUGAAGAAGUCUUUCGGUAUGUAAAGCUCUAUCAGCAGGGAAGACCGAAAUGACGGCACCUGACUAAGAAGCCGCAGCUAACUACGUGCCAGCAGCCGCUGUAAUACGUAGGGGGCAAGCGUUAUCCGGAUUUACUGGGUGUAAAGGGAUCGUAGACGGCGAUGCAAGUCUGAAGUGAAAGUCGGGGGCCCAAACCCCGGACUGCUUUGGAAACUGUAUGGCUGGAGUGCAGGAGAGGUAAGUGGAAUGCCUAGUGUAGCGGUGAAAUGCGUAGAUAUUAGGAGGAACACCAGUGGCGAAGGCGGCUUACUGGACUGUAACUGACGUUGAGGCUCGAAAGCGUGGGGAGCAAACAGGAUUAGAUACCCCAGUAGUC
Molecule: ribosomal RNA, 443 nt
Filed under: uncultured bacterium
Lineage: Bacteria
Description: partial 16S ribosomal RNA
Rfam family: Bacterial small subunit ribosomal RNA
Source: RNAcentral